CGGAGGUACUCGAGUGGCGAACGGGUGAGUAACACGUGGGUGAUCUGCCCUGCACUCUGGGAUAAGCCUGGGAAACUGGGUCUAAUACCGGAUAGGACCGCACUUUAGUGUGUGUGGUGGAAAGUUUUUUCGGUGUAGGAUGAGCCCGUGGCCUAUCAGCUUGUCGGUGGGGUAAUGGCCUACCAAGGCGGCGACGGGUAGCCGGACUGAGAGGUUGGUCGGCCACAUUGGGACUGAGAUACGGCCCAG
RNAcentral lists this ribosomal RNA (249 nucleotides) under uncultured Actinomycetales bacterium. RNAcentral describes it as "partial 16S ribosomal RNA". It matches the Rfam family "Bacterial small subunit ribosomal RNA", at positions 82 to 334 of the family's 1533-position model. Lineage: Bacteria; Bacillati; Actinomycetota; Actinomycetes; Actinomycetales. The record is from RNAcentral.